This is a long non-coding RNA of Eublepharis macularius, 1062 nucleotides long. RefSeq lists it as uncharacterized. The transcript has 3 exons. The record is from RefSeq and is a predicted model, not a curated record. Lineage: Eukaryota; Metazoa; Chordata; Lepidosauria; Squamata; Eublepharidae.
GCGAGCUCAACACGAGGGACUGUUGCAUGCAGCCUGGCUCGGCGUGUCCCACCACGGCGUCGUCUGCACAGCCCUCCGCCGCCGACCCCUCUCUUUCUCCCCCAUCCACUUCAGCCCGGUCUCUCUCUUCCCGGACUCGCCAUCAGCUCGCGUGUUUGGCCAACCGCAUCCUCCAAGCUCCCCAAACCGAGUUCUUCUGGUAAUAAUCGGUCGGCUGUUUAGGGAAAAGCCGGGCAUUCACCUCCUCCCCCCCUGCUUCCCAAGAAGGGGAGGAUCCACACAGCCAGAGGAGGGAUUGGAGGGAGCACAGAGACGCGCACACAAACUGUGACACGGCUCUGGCCGAGAGCCCUCCCGCUCCUCUCUAGUAGGUGACCUGAAGCAGCUUACACCAUACGCAUUUCCUCCGUUUUAUACUCACAACAAUCCUUUGAGGCAGGUUUAAGCUGAGACGGUUUGACUGGCCCGAGGUCACCUGUGAGCUUUCAGGGCUGAGAAGAGGUCGAAUCUGUCUGGAUGCAAGAAUCUCACUCUGGUGUAUAGGUAAUGAGCAGCCUCACCCAAAAUCACAAAGCCAAUGAUUUCUGGACACUGCAGCAAGACUUGAAAGGAAAGCAAAUGGAACCAAAUAUCUAUUAUCACCAGAGAAUCUUAUCUGCUCAGUGUGCGACAUCGUGGGAAGCAGCGCUGGUGCACGGAGGACUGGGGCACAUUCCUCCCGCAUUUAAUACAAUGGUACACUUAAACAACAAGAAAUGGUAGCAUCUUAGAGCCAGAUGCCUGGUGGUUUGUAAAUACAUCCUGUAGAAUGUGCGACAUUCCAGCAGCUCUCACAAACAAAAUUGUUACCGGGAAGGGGAGGGGGAGAGGUAAGUUAGAGGAAAUUACUGCUUUUAUCAGAUUGAUGGCUGCUGUUGAGAGUGUUUCAGCUCUGCAAAGUCACAGGAGUCUUCAGGUGGAGAGUCAAAUGACAUCGCGGAAAGGUGGUUCUACAGAAGGCAUCAUUAUACUACCCAAAAAAAUUACCAAGAUUUGCUAAGGAUUCUGCAACCAGAAAUUCAA